AGCAGCGUAGCUGAACAUCUUACGGAUGGCCCAGGGCUCCAAAGGCUCGUUUCCUAAGUGAGAGAGAGCCUGGCUGAAGCUGUAUUACCAUUCAUUCUCCAGCCUCCGAAGUCUCAAAGCAUCACUUCCACCAUACUCUAACUGUCAAGACAAACACAAAGGCCCAGAAAGAAGAAUACACUAUCGAUGUUCCUUUUAAACAAGUAUUUGAGUAAAAGCGAUGUUUCCAAUGUGUGUCAGAAAGUGAAUACUUGUAUAUUUCCGCACGGUUAGAGCUGAGCUUUCCGAGCAAAUUUUACUGGGACCCGGUUGAAAGACAGGUCUUGGAAGUGAAAUGAUGACUGACUAGAUGAAACUGCCAGACUGUCUUCUGAAGUGGCUAUAAUAUUUACACUCCCAUCAGCAGUGUAGAAGGGGUCUCACUAUGUUGUCUGGAGUGCUGUGGUGGAGUGGAGUGGCUAUUCACAGCUGAGUUUGCAGAGUAAACCACUACCCUGAAAUCUGGAAAGGCAGGUGCACCCACAGAUCCUCAGCUGAGAUCCAAUUACCUGAAAUAGAAGCUGCCAUUAGGAACACUUAAAAGAGCCUGUUCUGCUGGGACACAGAAUCACUUGCUCCAUCUCAUACAUUGAUGAUGAUUAAUUUGUAUGUGUACCUUCCAAAAAAGAUGGUUGUGUUUGAAUGGAGGCCUUCUGGACAGGAAAAUAUGGAGAGUGCGUGCUUUGGAUUCAAGACUGGGAAUGAGGGGACCAGAAACCUAUUCUGUGGCUGUUUCUUGUUAGGACUUUCCUAAGCCUCUGGAAAAGUGCAAAGUACAAUUAACAUUUGAGUCUGUCUGAGUCAUGAAGAAAUGGAGAUUACUGAAAAUAAUUCAUUUUGGUAUCUUCUUACAUCCUGAGAGACUAAUCUUUCCAAGUUCAUCUGAGGCUCCUCUUCUCCAUGACAACCUCAUCCAGGGAUUUCUUCCUGUCCUGGUGUUUUAUGACAUCAUCCUCAUCUCGCUUGUAAGGAUAAUAGCCUUCCUCCAAACCUCACACACUUUUGGAGGAGAUCACUUUUUUUAAAGUGCAUGGAAAUGUUUUGAAACAGUGAAAUCUAUAAUGAUAGGUUUCAUAAUUCUAACAUCCACACCAUAUGAAUCACAUCCUUCCUGAGAUAAUGAGCACACAAUUGCCUGGAUACCUGAAGGAAUGGAGACAGCGGCAGAAAACACUGCAGAGAGGUGGAAACAUCCGUUAAUAUUUUAAAAUCCCAUUACUGCUACCAACAAUAAUAAUGGAUGCAUAGAAAUAGAUCUGGAUUAGCUGAGCUUGAAACAGUCCAUCUCACACACACACAAAAGAAUUUCAGAUACAGUGAACCCACAUGUUGAAGCUUUCUAGUAUAAUAAAAAUUUCAACUGUUCUGUUGAAUCAUCUGCCUGAUUGGAGGCUACAGAAAAGAUGUCAUCUUAGGAGUGCUUGCUCUGAGUGAGGCUCAUCUUCAAAUCUGAAUGACCACAAGGAGAUUUGAUUAUACAUGUGAACACCUCAGAAGGCACAGCCCACCCAGAAGGCAGACAGGUCAGGCUGCUUUUUCUUCAUUGCUUGGAUUCAAUCCUCCGGGCGGCUCAGGCUCAAACAUAACUUAAGCAUGAUUAAACUUUAGAAGAAGCUGCCAGGAAGACUGUGAAAUCUUCAUGCCCAAGGAUCCCUAAAAUUAGGAGCAACAACCACUUGGCUCAGACGGUUUAUGGAGGCAAAGGUUUGGAUGGGAUUAGAGAUUUCUAAAUGUGAGUUCGUGUCCUCUGCCAGACCACCUUACUUCCACCAUUCCUCAGCAAAUCAAGAAAAACAGGAGAAAAGACAUGCCUUUCCAUAAGUUAAAUCUAUUCUGUUUUAAUUCUAUAUUAUAUCUGCUGUACAACUUCUUUUGUUUGUAACACCAUAUUGUUGCUAGUAACUGGAAAUUAAUUUUCACAUGCCUCAGCUUAGAAAAAUAAAAAGCAGCCCUGCA
Molecule: long non-coding RNA, 1995 nt
Filed under: Homo sapiens (human)
Lineage: Eukaryota; Metazoa; Chordata; Mammalia; Primates; Hominidae
Description: long intergenic non-protein coding RNA 635
Source: RNAcentral